Varanus komodoensis (Komodo dragon) is the source of this 678-nucleotide long non-coding RNA. RefSeq lists it as uncharacterized. Lineage: Eukaryota; Metazoa; Chordata; Lepidosauria; Squamata; Varanidae. The transcript has 5 exons. The record is from RefSeq and is a predicted model, not a curated record.
AGAGCAGUCGGUGGCAGCUGCAGGGAUAGCUAGACGUGUUUCACUUGCGUCAGUUUGCAGCAGAGCUUGACAGGGCCGCGCUGAGGGUGCUUUUAACUCCCCGUGACUGGCAGCAUUUCCAGCCACGAUGGCCAGUCCAACACAUCCCGAAGGCCCCACGCUGAGGAAAACUGCUCUACUACAUCUGAUCAGAGGUACAGUGCACCUUUGAUGUUCUUCAAGGCUUAUGAUUUGUCCCUACCCAGAAAACCUGGAGACCAGAUUGGGCUGGAUGACCUGCUACACCACCCAAACAUCAGGAGUGCAUCUGAUCAACCAUUCAUUUCCUUCAAACCACACAACAUGAGAACAGUUUGUUAUGCUUCUAGCUUGUGAGAAGCUGCAAAAAUCCAGGAGUGGCACAGCUACAUCUGGACUUUGGGGUCAAAAUCCAGCUACCCCCUCUCCCGAGAUGGCCACCGAAGUGCGACAGAUGAUGGGGUGAGGCAAAGAGGCUCAGAGCAGUGCUCCUAUCCUGAGGCAUCCUUGCUUGGUUCUUUUUAGGACAGCCAGCUGGGACUGUGCAUGGUUACAGACACUAAUUUUAUUCUACAUUUUUCUUAUGUACGUAUGUAAAAUCUUUUUCUACAUCAAAAUGAUGCUUGUUCCCAAACAAAUAUAUUCAGCAUGAGGGCAGCA